This 343-nucleotide ribosomal RNA is filed under the name Salmonella enterica. RNAcentral describes it as "partial 23S ribosomal RNA". It matches the Rfam family "Bacterial large subunit ribosomal RNA", at positions 911 to 1251 of the family's 2925-position model. RNAcentral also lists the same sequence under 3 other names. Lineage: Bacteria; Pseudomonadati; Pseudomonadota; Gammaproteobacteria; Enterobacterales; Enterobacteriaceae. The record is from RNAcentral.
UGUUUCGGCUAGGGGGCCAUCCCGGCUUACCAACCCGAUGCAAACUGCGAAUACCGGAGAAUGUUAUCACGGGAGACACACGGCGGGUGCUAACGUCCGUCGUGAAGAGGGAAACAACCCAGACCGCCAGCUAAGGUCCCAAAGUCAUGGUUAAGUGGGAAACGAUGUGGGAAGGCCCAGACAGCCAGGAUGUUGGCUUAGAAGCAGCCAUCAUUUAAAGAAAGCGUAAUAGCUCACUGGUCGAGUCGGCCUGCGCGGAAGAUGUAACGGGGCUAAACCAUGCACCGAAGCUGCGGCAGCGACGCUUAUGCGUUGUUGGGUAGGGGAGCGUUCUGUAAGCCUG